UCUUGGACCGUUACAGCUGCAAACAUGUAUGCAAUAUUAUUUUAUAUUAUUCUUAUUGGAAUUCAAUGUUACCGUGUGAUGUACCGUUGCUAAGAGCUCACCCCUUUCGUUUCUCGUCACGGGUAUAAAAAGGGAGUCAGGGUUCCCAAAUUUAUCAUUUCAGUUUCGUAUUCCGUCUGGUUCGGUAGUGCGUCACAGUGUGUAAAGAAAUGAAUUUGUCGAUUAACAAAAUUACUUGGUGUUACCAGUGUUUGGUCUUGUAAUUGAAUCUAAAGAUAUAGUGAUGGCUGGUGACGUUAUCAACGAGCGCUCUAACACCACUUUGUACAAGGUGGCAAAAUUCUUGAGGGACAUCAGAACGGGACUUAUGCGUCGGCCUAGGAUCCCGUUGUUUGUCCUGCACCAGGCCCCGAUGAUGGGAGCCUGGUGAUAUAUGAAGAUAAUGCUUUUUGUGCAAUAUUUUCCCGAAAUAUCUUUUGUCAAAGAUGUUACUCAUAAAAGUUCUUGCAAACAAUUCCUGCUUUCAAUUUGGAGCUUUUUCAACUCAUCCUACCUGAAGAUUUGGAAGGUUCCACCACAAAUUCGGAAGUAAGGUCUACUGCGCUUCAAUACGAAGAUGGCGGUAGAUUACCAGUGAAAAUGAUGCACAAGAACCUUAGACUAUAACGGGGCUCCCUUAUAUGGCAUACCGUUGACUGUCACAUUACUAAUCCGCAUAAUAGACCAGGUAUAACUUGAUUGUGCAUAACAUUUAGUUCUAAAACAUAAUCAUCAUUGACUUAUCAAGCACAACAUCUCUUACAAUUCACCUUUAACACCCAUAGACGCUCAGUUGGUUUCAUUUUAAAUUAGUACUGGUAUCUUUGAAAGCCCACCCAAUUUAAUUUGAUAUGAGACCUCAUAACUGCGAUUCUGUAUUCAAAUUGCUGAGUUGUUGUGCUUGAAACUAAAUUGCAACAUAAUAAUAUGCUUGCAGAGGUUUUAAACGAUACCUACGUUGGUUUUUACGAAAAACACUUUUUAUUUAUGCUAAAAAAUGAAUUAUGCACAUCCAAAUUAUUCAUAUUUUUUUAAGGAAUAUAUUAUGCGGAUUUGUAAUGAAAAUCAGUAAUUAUAUUCCUGGACAAUUGGUUUACAAAUAAGAUACCGCAUGUGGUCAUAAAAUUGGGUAUUCGAUUUAUGCCACAUAAUCCAGUCCCGUUUUCACACUCACAGAUGCUCUUUUAUAUUUAUUCGAAUCAAUAAUCAUAGUAUUUAAUUAUCUUUUUCAUAUUUUACAAGCUUUGCGUACAUUGACAGCUUUGCGAAUUUUUGAAGCUUUGCGUUCGUUCUCUCGAAAUGAAGUUUGAAUGAAAAUUAUACUUUGCUUUGAGUGAUGUUUUCCGUGUGAAUUUAAAUAUUAGGAUAUAGAUAAUAAUUACAUUAAUCAAUUACAAUAAUAUAUCUUUAACACCUGGUUACUGAAAACCUAUUCAAUUCACUUUUUGUUUAUCUUUGUCGUGCUUUGAACCCAUUGAAAUGAAAUGAAAUGAAAUGAUUAAUCCUUGCAAUAUUUUCAAAAUAUAGAUUUAUUAAAUCAAGCUUCCAGGUACCGUUAGUUAUACCACCACCUUAAAUGUUCACAACAUCAAAAAAAAUCAUAUCAAUCAAAAUCAAUCGUAUCAACAAAAAAACAUAAAAGAAAACAUAAUGAUAUAAUACACCUGAACUAUUAUACCAUAAAUAUGCUUAUUCUUGAAGCUUGAUUAGCGCGGUUCCAUUCAUUUUGUUCAUAUUAAGUGUCCUAAAAACAAUAUACAAAACAAGUUUUUUUUCUACUUUAUACGUGUGUGUGUGUGUGUGUGUGUCUGUGUGUUUGUUUGUUCCUUUUUUGUAUCAUCUUCGGAAAGAUGAUACUCUCAUACUUUUUUUUCAAUUUUAGUGUUGUGUCUGUUUUUCACAGUGUGUUUUUUCUUUUUUGCAAUUUUUUUUUAGUUUUUCGUUGUUAUUUUUGUCACCGUUUAUUACUUUCGUAUGAUACACUCACAAAAUAAUUUGUUACGAAAACAUAUCAGCAUACAGCACUGAUCGAAGUUCUACCAACAACUCACUGGAUUACAAAAGCAAAAAUAUCCUGAAAUUGUUUGCCGAUAAAAAAAGGUAUUGCAGUUGGUAUUGCUAAAAACCACCAUUAAAACUUGCUACGGCUUAUUAUAAAGUACAUUUUCAAAUUCAUUCAGACAACUGUCGAAAAUCACCAAAAAAUAAUUUUGCUAUUUUUCUGAUUUUUUUAGUUUUCUUUACUAGCUUAUUUUUUUUAGUUUUUGCUAUAUUUUGUGCCUUAUAUUUUAAGAAGCCCCAUGCAAUGUUAAGGGUUAAGUGUAGUGUCUAUGGUGUUUCUUAUAUUUUGUUUUUCUUGCUUUUAGAGUAGCGUUUUUUUCAUAAUGUAACUAUAUUAUGAAAAUGUUAUAUAUUUUAACGUACUCCCACAUGAAAGACCGAAGUGAUCAAAUAGAUAGAUUGUAUAGAUAGUUUACUGUAGUUUCAUAUAUUCAUAUAUCUUUCUCUUUUUCUAGUUUCAGCUAAGCUACGUAUAUUUGUGCACCAGAUGUCUAGUUGAAUAGUUGAAUGCAUUCACAAGUCGCCGCCUUACUAUUCAUACAGAGUAAAUAGAUAAUAAUAUUUUUUCUACAUAGUAGGAGUAGUCUUUUUAUACAUUUUUGUCGCUUAUUUUUUGUUUUCUUGCGUUUGUUCGUGUGAGGUUUUUUUGUAGAUUUUAGGCACCUACUUUAGUGGUUUAGGCCAGUAACGUUGUUUUAAUAAUCGGCCGGAUAGUUAUUUUCCUUUUUUUUCCGGAUGUAAUUUCAAUCGCAGCAAUGAUUUUACAUAAUCUCGAAUCCCUUCUGUGCGAAACAUGCAAUCAUGAAAAACUUAAUUUGGACCUUUCAAUCCAAAAAGCCAAGUUAUUUUUUUCCACAACUGGACGUCCCUAACUUACUGUGCUUUAAUUUGUGUUUAGUUUUCUUUAGCUUCUUAGUAAGUAAUCCAUUCGACAAAUACUUGUGUGAUAUCAAACAUUUUUAGCAGUUUUUUUUCUUUAUGAUUUUUUGUCGCCUUUUGCCAUGCCUCACUCUGCCUUUGCCACUCAGUUCAAUUACCCUUUGUAUAACCCUGGUAAUAGUUUGAAUAAGAAACUUAUUUUGGACCUCACGAUACAAAAAGCUAUGUUUAACUUCUCCCAAAAUACGACGGCCCUAACUUACCUAGCUUUAAUUUGUUUUUAGUUUUCAUUAGCUUCCAUUCGACAAAUACUUGUGUGAAUCAAACAUUUUUAAUAUUGUGGUGGUAAUUGAAAUAACCUUUUGCUAAUAGUUUGAAUAAAAAACUGAAUUUGGACCUCUCAGUACAAAAAGCUAAGUUCAACUUCUAAACCACGUCGUCCCUAACUUUCCUUGCUUUAAUUUGUUUGUAGUUUUCAUUAGCUUCUUAGUAAGUAAUCCAAUCGUCAAAUACUUGUGUGAUAUCUAACAUUUUAGCAGUUUUUGUGUCGCGUUUUUGCUAUGCCAGUAUCUUUGCCACUAGUUUUUUAAGUUAACCCUUGCUCAUAGUUUCAAUAUGGUCGUAUAACUAGAUUUUCACUAACGAGUCUGGUGCUUUUAGAUAUUUACUUUCUACUUCAAAUAAUGAACAUGUUACAAUAACCUAAUAUAAUAGAUAUCUUUAAUAAAAUAGGUGUAGGAUUGUCUCUUAGUGUGAUGUGUGAUAUAGCCAGUUUUCUGUUUUUUUUUUUCUCAAUUCAACGCCAUUUAUUUAUUUUAUUUUUGGCAUCUAUUUACAUGUCUUCGUAGAUGAGCUCAUUUUACCUCAUAUUCAAUAAGACCAUACAAUUUACCUCAUAAUAGUUUAUUUACUUUGAGUGCCUAUAAGUGUUUGUGUGUGUUUGAGCUAGGUUUUUUCAUAUUUCUUCCCCUGGUCAUGGGGAAACCGGGUAUUUUCUUAGGAAUAGUUUCAUAGAAUCGUCUUAGCGUAAUCAUACAUUUAAAUACUGAGUCUUUUAUUAUUUUUUCUUCUCAAUUUUUAUUCUAAUAGUGUUUUUGAAUAGCCACAAGUGUUUUUCUAGCUUUACAAGCUUUGCCUUCAAACAUUUUUCAAUGGUUUUCUAAGGACUAACAUGAUCCACGUCAAUCCAUUGCAUUUCGGUGCUUCAAUUUGUUUUCUUUUUUUGCCAUUUUUGCCAUUAGCUUUAUGCUAAUUUUAACUGUUUGCUAGUUUUUGCCAUUUUUCAACUUUUUUCUGUGUGUUACUGAUCCUAUAUCUUGUCCAUUUGAAUUUACAACCCCGUCUAUAUGAAAUACUUUCCUAUAACUGUCUAUAAUCCACCGAUACCCUAAUAAUUUUUUUAAUUUUAUUCCUACCACGAAAUCCCCCUAUCCUGUUUAAAAAAUAUAUACUCAACCUAGUGAUUAUUCUUCCUUCUCCAGUGCCGUAUACUUAUCUGCUAUCAAUACAAAGCUUUAUAAAGUCGACCAAAAAUGUUCCUACUAGUUUUGACAAAAGUUUCUUCUAGAUCUCAUAUCGCCAAGUUUCACAUUUCCGUGAAAUAGAUCACAUUUUGGCCGACUAUACUGUAAUUGUAAUUUAAUGAUUUUCCCUAAUGCUCUCCAAAACUACAUGCUUUAAUAUGUUUUUUACACACUGCUUUACCCAUUAGCAUUACCCAACCCUUGAUUUCCACUUUGCCCCCAUUUUUACAUUACUUUGAGAAUUCUUUGCUCCGCUUUAUCAUUAUUUGGCAAACAAUAUUUAUUUUAAUUUCUCCUCUAUUCUACGUUAACAUACCACCUCAAAAGACUUACAAUAUUUAUUUUACAAUAGUAUAUAAUAAUUAUAAAUACAGCCUAUUUUAAUAUCCCGCUGCUGAGCCUAAGAAGGCUCUUACAUUAUCUGAACAUUCAACGAAUACUUAUUCUGUUAUUAAAUUAUCUUACCUGUAGAUACAUUCAUAUGCAUAGUAUUUGAUAUCUGUCGAUACACACUCCGCCUGCAUUUUUUAUUUAUUUAAAUAGACUUACAUAAUAUAUAAUAAUACCUACCUGAUAAUGCAACUGCUUUUGCUGAAUUUUCGUACAGCUUGUAAAAUUGAUUCUUUUUUCAUUAUUAUUAGAAAGAGCCUGUUUUAACAUUUUCUGUUUGGGACUGAAAAAAUGCUUUACUUGUUUUUAGCGGCUAAAUAAGUAAUUUUAGUAAAUAGUUAUUUUGGCUACUAUUUUUGUGCCUUAACAUUUAAUUAUAAAUUAAUUACAAGAAAAAUGUGAUAAAAAUGUUUAACCUUUGUUAUAGAGCCGAUUGUACCACUUCAAACCUUAAACAUUUCUCUAAAUAUAAUAAUCUAAUCAUUCGACAUUCAAUAAGUGCUACCCGGUGCGAAUUUAUUCUGAUGGAAAUCUAUAAGUUUUGGACAAUACCGAGGUAGUAACAAAAGCUCAAGAUUCUUUACUGUAUGAAAUCGUUAAAAAUAGACCAGCAACCUUCGGACAUAACUAAAUCAUAAUUCACAAUAUUAUCACAAUGACAAAAAUAUUUCUGGAUUACAGCGAUAGUCAUUUUAUAAAGUUUCUGGAAAAUGCUCUGGUUUGUCAACUAUCGCAAAUUUUAUUACUUGGGUUUAUAAAACCACACAUGCAAGUUCACAAUAAUCUUAGAAAAAAAAGUAUAGUUGUAAACAGUGGUCCUAAUAUUCAACUAUGUAUUUAAACUCAAAUUGCUUUGAUAUAAUAGAAAUUACUUAUAUAAAACACAUUUGAUCUGUAGACACUUUUGGAAGAAAUCAUCUGGCAUUUAUUACAAUAAUUACAUGUUUCUGAACUCAAAUGUUUAAUCUAUUUUUGUGCUUGCGAUAAAAUGUAAUUUUUGGUGCAUAUGUUGAAACAAUUGUUCAAUUAAUUAUGUGAAAAUGACAUUUGAGUGAGAUUAUUAAAUACAUUUGGAUUUUUGAUA
This is a long non-coding RNA of Helicoverpa armigera (cotton bollworm), 5976 nucleotides long. RefSeq lists it as uncharacterized. Lineage: Eukaryota; Metazoa; Arthropoda; Insecta; Lepidoptera; Noctuidae. The record is from RefSeq and is a predicted model, not a curated record. The transcript has 3 exons.